UACGUAGGGUGCAAGCGUUAAUCGGAAUUACUGGGCGUAAAGCGUGCGCAGGCGGCUUUGCAAGACAGAUGUGAAAUCCCCGGGCUUAACCUGGGAACUGCAUUUGUGACUGCAUGGCUAGAGUGCGGCAGAGGGGGAUGGAAUUCCGCGUGUAGCAGUGAAAUGCGUAGAGAUGCGGCGGAACACCGAUGGCGAAGGCAGCCCCCUGGGCUGAGAUUGACGCUCAGGCACGAAAGCGUGGGGAGCAAACAGG
RNAcentral lists this ribosomal RNA (253 nucleotides) under uncultured bacterium. RNAcentral's name for it is "partial 16S ribosomal RNA". It matches the Rfam family "Bacterial small subunit ribosomal RNA", at positions 524 to 776 of the family's 1533-position model. The record is from RNAcentral.